CAGAGUGCUGCUGCUGAUCUAGGCCUAGUGAUUCUUCCUGCCUCUCUUUAAAUGUAAAGCUGCCUCUGCUGCACCUGUGACGUUUGCCGCCUGCCGUGCAAUGCCAGUGCGCACUGGGCAUCAAAAGCGCAGAUAGAGGCAAAACAAUGUCACAAAAAAGGACAUAUCCUUCAGGUGCAGAAAAAAGGAAGAAGAAGAAAGUGGAAGAGGAGAAAAAAUGCCAUGAUAAAGGUAUGUUUGCAUGACUUGGUAAUAAAAAGUUUAUCAAAGAGAUUUGUAGCUGUAAUUAGCUUUAGCUAGGUGACGUUAGCUAGCUAGCGCGGUGCUAGCAAUAUGUUUUUAGCAUCAGGUUACUAGUGAGAUAUGUUGUUUGCACAAAUUGUUUGCAGCAGAGCACGGUAAUUUAUGUGAGUAAAAUAAACAUUAUUUUUUACAUCAACUCAUAAGUUAUGUGAAACUUCCCCAGGAGCAUUGUUAAAAUACUUUGGAGGCACAGAAUCAGCCCAGAGCCAGUCCACAUCCUCAGGCUCAACUGUGAGUGAUGAAUCAGGUCCAUCUCCAUCCUCUACAGUGCUCUCUCACACACCUCCAUCCUCUGUGCCCACUGUCCCCUCCAUGUCUGAAACCACAGCUGAUUUAUCUACAACUUCCACCACAACGUCCCCUUCACACCAUGGACCAUCAUCAGCUCCGCCAGUUGACCCAGCUGAGUGGCCUUCUUUCCUCUCAGAUUCAGACAGGACUGAGCAGGUGAUCAGAGGACCACUGUCUAUUAAGGAGAACUUUUCAUUCCCCAAACGGCAUGAUGGCCGAAGUUUUCAUUAUCAUUAUACCUACAGACAGCUAGUCAAUGGGGAAAAAGUCAAG
This is a non-coding RNA of Nerophis lumbriciformis (worm pipefish), 867 nucleotides long. The record is from RefSeq and is a predicted model, not a curated record. NCBI's taxonomy places the organism in Eukaryota, Metazoa, Chordata, Actinopteri, Syngnathiformes, Syngnathidae.